UAGGGAAUCUUCGGCAAUGGACGAAAGUCUGACCGAGCAACGCCGCGUGAGUGAAGAAGGUUUUCGGAUCGUAAAACUCUGUUGUUAGAGAAGAACAAGGACGUUAGUAACUGAACGUCCCCUGACGGUAUCUAACCAGAAAGCCACGGCUAACUACGUGCCAGCAGCCGCGGUAAUACGUAGGUGGCAAGCGUUGUCCGGAUUUAUGGGGCGUAAAGCGAGCGCAGGCGGUUUCUUAAGUCUGAUGUGAAAGCCCCCGGCUCAACCGGGGAGGGUCAUUGGAAACUGGGAGACUUGGGUGCAGAAGAGGAGAGUGGAAUUCCAUGUGUAGCGGUGAGAUGCGUAGAUAUAUGGAGGAACACCAGUGGCGAAGGCGGCUCUCUGGUCUGUAACUGACGCUGAGGCUCGAAAGCGUGGGGAGCAAACAGG
RNAcentral lists this ribosomal RNA (429 nucleotides) under Gemmatimonadota bacterium. RNAcentral describes it as "Gemmatimonadetes bacterium partial 16S ribosomal RNA". It matches the Rfam family "Bacterial small subunit ribosomal RNA", at positions 355 to 776 of the family's 1533-position model. The record is from RNAcentral. Lineage: Bacteria; Pseudomonadati; Gemmatimonadota.